AAGACUAUGCUUUCAGGCAUCACGGCUAUAGUUGGUUACUGGAGAAGUUUCUCUGACCAUGUAGACCACCCGAAGCCACGAGGAGGAGAUGCAGCGUUCUCUCCCAAGCGUGCAGCGGCUCUUGGUGUUGCCUCUUCAGCGGCCACUGGCCUUUGAUGAUCAUUUCUUCUCUUCCUUUGGGAGGGUAGGAGGGAGGGAAUGCUGUCUGAGUGGG
Small nucleolar RNA from Bos grunniens (domestic yak), 214 nucleotides. Its record names the gene U3. It matches the Rfam family "Small nucleolar RNA U3". From Rfam's summary of the family: Small nucleolar RNAs (snoRNAs) are involved in the processing and modification of rRNA in the nucleolus. There are two main classes of snoRNAs: the box C/D class, and the box H/ACA class. U3 snoRNA is a member of the box C/D class. NCBI's taxonomy places the organism in Eukaryota, Metazoa, Chordata, Mammalia, Artiodactyla, Bovidae. The record is from Ensembl.